RNAcentral lists this transfer RNA (111 nucleotides) under Colletotrichum nupharicola. Its description in RNAcentral is "tRNA-Val". The record is from RNAcentral. Lineage: Eukaryota; Fungi; Ascomycota; Sordariomycetes; Glomerellales; Glomerellaceae. RNAcentral also lists the same sequence under 1 other name.
AGUCGCGUGGUCUAAUGGUCAUGAUUUUCCGUUAACAUGUGAUCAGUCAUCUGAUUACUUCUACAAUCGUAGAUGCCGGAACGGUUCCCGGUUCGAUCCCGGGCGUGACUA